Alnus glutinosa is the source of this 875-nucleotide long non-coding RNA. RefSeq lists it as uncharacterized. NCBI's taxonomy places the organism in Eukaryota, Viridiplantae, Streptophyta, Magnoliopsida, Fagales, Betulaceae. The transcript has 3 exons. The record is from RefSeq and is a predicted model, not a curated record.
CUCACGCCACUCUCCUCUUCUUCCUUUCCUUUUUCCUUUUUUCUUUCUCUUUUCUUCUCCUUUCUCACGCACCCACCAGCCUCCCUCUUCCUUUCUUUCUUCUUCCCAUUUCUCCUACUUCUUCUGUGCACCAGCCCAUGAGAGAUUGAGAGAGUGAGACGCAGAGAUGGAGAGACCCGUUAGUUCGAGUGACCCGCGACCCAGUGACCCGAGUAACCACCAGACCCGAAGCCUAGACCCGGACCCGAUCCUCCAUUAACGAACUCCGGCGAACCAGUGAUGGAUCGGCGGCCUGAGAUGCGGUUUCCGGCAACCCGUGAGCCCAGAAAACCCAAGGACCCGUGACCCGCCUAACCCUAGAGGAAGACCCGAUUCUUCAUGGCGUUUUCCGGCGGCUUUUCCGGCGGUCCAGUAGCGAUUUCCGGUGGAUUUGUUGAGGAAAAUCCCUAAGGCUUGUGUCGUGAUUGGAGACGUAGACUUGUUCUCCAAUGUAGAGUCCAAGUGACUAGAGUUCAAGGGAGUGUUCGAGUUGGAGUCCAAUGCAGCCAAGAUGAUGUUUCUUUGGCUGCAGGUACUACGGUAUAGUCGAUGGGUCGGUAGCAGUGUGCUUGGGAUAUUAUGACUGAAGCUCGCCGCGACAGUUGUAAUUGUCGGACCACGGGUUGUCCACUAUUUUAUAGGUUUGGUAUGGCUUGUGACGUUUGUGUCACUUAUUCUUUGUUAAGCCAUUAUUGUUAUUGUGUUAAUAAGACUCAAACAGAUAGAUGUUAAAUGGCUUUUUGUUGUAAUUAAUUUGUGAUAGAUAUAUAAGUUGUAAUUUCCGCUAUUCAGAUUUAUGUUUUCCGCUGCAUAGAUAGAUGUAUGUUAUACUCUGA